GUGGAGCAAUCCAUGAGUAGAGUGGCAAACGGGUGAGUAACGCGUGGGCGACCUACCUCGAAGUGGGGGAUAACCUUCCGAAAGGAGGGCUAAUACCGCAUGACAUCCCAUGUUUGGAUACAUGGACAUCAAAGCCGGGGAUCGCAAGACCUGGCGCUUCAAGAGGGGCCCGCGUCCGAUUAGCUAGUUGGUGAGGUAACGGCUCACCAAGGCUCCGAUCGGUAUCCGGCCUGAGAGGGCGGACGGACACACUGGAACUGAGACACGGUCCAGACUCCUACGGGAGGCAGCAGUGGGGAAUUGUUCGCAAUGGGCGCAAGCCUGACGACGCAACGCCGCGUGGAGGAUGAAGACUUUCGGGUCGUAAACUCCUUUCGACCGAGAUGAAUGUCCUUCGACCUAACACGUCGAAGGAGUGACAGUAUCGAGGGAAGAAGCCCCGGCUAACUCCGUGCCAGCAGCCGCGGUAAUACGGGGGGGGCAAGCGUUGUUCGGAAUUACUGGGCGUAAAGGGUUCGUAGGUGGCUCGCUAAGUCAGACGUGAAAUCCCUCAGCUUAACUGGGGAACUGCGUCUGAGACUGGCGAGCUCGAGUGCAGGAGAGGAACGCGGAAUUCCAGGUGUAGCGGUGAAAUGCGUAGAUAUCUGGAGGAACACCGGUGGCGAAGGCGGCGUUCUGGACUGCAACUGACACUGAGGAACGAAAGCCAGGGUAGCAAACGGGAUUAGAUACCCCGGUAGUCCUGGCCCUAAACGAUGAAUGCUUGGUGUGGCGGGUAUCGAUCCCUG
This 788-nucleotide ribosomal RNA is filed under the name uncultured Bacillota bacterium. RNAcentral's name for it is "bacterial SSU rRNA". It matches the Rfam family "Bacterial small subunit ribosomal RNA", at positions 74 to 840 of the family's 1533-position model. The record is from RNAcentral. Lineage: Bacteria; Bacillati; Bacillota.